GACGAACGCUGGCGGCGUGCUUAACACAUGCAAGUCGAACGGAAAGGCCCUGCUUUUGUGGGGUGCUCGAGUGGCGAACGGGUGAGUAACACGUGAGUAACCUGCCCUUGACUUUGGGAUAACUUCGGGAAACUGGGGCUAAUACCGGAUAGGAGCUCCUGCUGCAUGGUGGGGGUUGGAAAGUUUCGGCGGUUGGGGAUGGACUCGCGGCUUGUCAGCUUGUUGGUGGGGUAGUGGCUUACCAAGGCUUUGACGGGUAGCCGGCCUGAGAGGGUGACCGGCCACAUUGGGACUGAGAUACGGCCCAGACUCCUACGGGAGGCAGCAGUGGGGAAUAUUGCACAAUGGGCGGAAGCCUGAUGCAGCAACGCCGCGUGCGGGAUGACGGCCUUCGGGUUGUAAACCGCUUUCGCCUGUGACGAAGCGUGAGUGACGGUAAUGGGUAAAGAAGCACCGGCUAACUACGC
RNAcentral lists this ribosomal RNA (467 nucleotides) under uncultured bacterium. RNAcentral's name for it is "partial 16S ribosomal RNA". It matches the Rfam family "Bacterial small subunit ribosomal RNA", at positions 28 to 506 of the family's 1533-position model. The record is from RNAcentral.